GACGAGGAGCUUGCUCCUCUGACGUUAGCGGCGGACGGGUGAGUAACACGUGGAUAACCUACCUAUAAGACUGGGAUAACUUCGGGAAACCGGAGCUAAUACCGGAUAAUAUAUUGAACCGCAUGGUUCAAUAGUGAAAGACGGUUUUGCUGUCACUUAUAGAUGGAUCCGCGCCGCAUUAGCUAGUUGGUAAGGUAACGGCUUACCAAGGCAACGAUGCGUAGCCGACCUGAGAGGGUGAUCGGCCACACUGGAACUGAGACACGGUCCAGACUCCUACGGGAGGCAGCAGUAGGGAAUCUUCCGCAAUGGGCGAAAGCCUGACGGAGCAACGCCGCGUGAGUGAUGAAGGUCUUCGGAUCGUAAAACUCUGUUAUUAGGGAAGAACAAAUGUGUAAGUAACUAUGCACGUCUUGACGGUACCUAAUCAGAAAGCCACGGCUAACUACGUGCCAGCAGCCGCGGUAAUACGUAGGUGGCAAGCGUUAUCCGGAAUUAUUGGGCGUAAAGCGCGCGUAGGCGGUUUUUUAAGUCUGAUGUGAAANNCCACGGCUCAACCGUNNNGNGUCAUUGGAAACUGGAAAACUUG
This 589-nucleotide ribosomal RNA is filed under the name Staphylococcus sp. RNAcentral's name for it is "bacterial SSU rRNA". It matches the Rfam family "Bacterial small subunit ribosomal RNA", at positions 70 to 644 of the family's 1533-position model. The record is from RNAcentral. Lineage: Bacteria; Bacillati; Bacillota; Bacilli; Caryophanales; Staphylococcaceae.